This 253-nucleotide ribosomal RNA is filed under the name uncultured bacterium. RNAcentral describes it as "partial 16S ribosomal RNA". It matches the Rfam family "Bacterial small subunit ribosomal RNA", at positions 524 to 776 of the family's 1533-position model. The record is from RNAcentral.
UACGGAGGGAGCUAGCGUUGUUUGGAAUUACUGGGCGUAAAGCGUGCGUAGGCGGCUUUGUAAGUUAGAGGUGAAAGCCCGGAGCUCAACUCCGGAAUUGCCUUUAAGACUGCAUCGCUUGAAUCUGGGAGAGGUGAGUGGAAUUCCGAGUGUAGAGGUGAGAUUCGUAGAUAUGCGGAAGAACACCAGUGGCGAAGGCGGCUCACUGGACCGGCAUUGACGCUGAGGUACGAAAGCGUGGGGAGCAAACAGG